RNAcentral lists this ribosomal RNA (234 nucleotides) under uncultured bacterium. Its description in RNAcentral is "partial small subunit ribosomal RNA". It matches the Rfam family "Bacterial small subunit ribosomal RNA", at positions 26 to 288 of the family's 1533-position model. The record is from RNAcentral.
AGAACGAACGCUGGCGGCAUGCCUAACACAUGCAAGUCGAACGGGACCUUCGGGUCUAGUGGCGCACGGGUGCGUAACGCGUGGGGAUCUGCCCUUAGGUACGGAAUAACUCAGGGAAACUUGAGCUAAUACCGUAUAAUGACUUCGGUCCAAAGAUUUAUCGCCUAGGGAUGAACCCGCGUAGGAUUAGCUUGUUGGUGAGGUAAAGGCUCACCAAGGCGACGAUCCUUAGCU